Molecule: long non-coding RNA, 250 nt
Filed under: Elaeis guineensis (African oil palm)
Lineage: Eukaryota; Viridiplantae; Streptophyta; Magnoliopsida; Arecales; Arecaceae
Description: long non-coding RNA (EGUI_LNC047027)
Source: RNAcentral
CUUUGUUGCCACCUCCUCUUCUUGGGCAUGGAUCCUUCUUGGGCAUCCCAUCUACUGGUGUGAGGUAUCAUAUCAGCACAUCUCCUCCUUUGUUUGGUUGGCUUGCGAAGAUAAUUGGAUUGGAGUUCAUCCUAGUUUCCUGCGAUGUCUGACGUGCAUACGAAGUAGAGGAUCUGCAUAUCCACUCCUCCAUGAAGGUUUAAUCUAGAUAAAUUGAGAUUUGAUCUCUGGUUCCACUGCUAAUCAGGUA